GACGAACGCUGGCGGCGUGCUUAACACAUGCAAGUCGAGCGGGGAUUGAUGAAGUGCUUGCACAGAUUCAAUUCUAGCGGCGGACGGGUGAGUAACGCGUGAACAAUCUGUCCCAGACAGGGGGAUAACAGAUGGAAACAUCUGCUAAUACCGCAUAAGACCACAGGAUCACAUGGUCCAGGGGUAAAAGAUUUACCGGUCUGGGGUGAGUUCGCGUCCGAUUAGCUAGUUGGUGAGGUAACGGCCCACCAAGGCGACGAUCGGUAGCCGACCUGAGAGGGUGAUCGGCCACAUUGGAACUGAGACACGGUCCAA
Molecule: ribosomal RNA, 315 nt
Filed under: uncultured bacterium
Lineage: Bacteria
Description: bacterial SSU rRNA
Rfam family: Bacterial small subunit ribosomal RNA
Source: RNAcentral